This 3003-nucleotide ribosomal RNA is filed under the name Salmonella enterica subsp. enterica serovar Bovismorbificans. RNAcentral describes it as "bacterial LSU rRNA". It matches the Rfam family "Bacterial large subunit ribosomal RNA". Lineage: Bacteria; Pseudomonadati; Pseudomonadota; Gammaproteobacteria; Enterobacterales; Enterobacteriaceae. The record is from RNAcentral.
UUAAGCGACUAAGCGUACACGGUGGAUGCCCUGGCAGUCAGAGGCGAUGAAGGGCGUGCUAAUCUGCGAUAAGCGCCGGUAAGGUGAUAUGAACCGUUAUAACCGGCGAUACCCGAAUGGGGAAACCCAGUGUGACUCGUCACACUAUCAUUAACUGAAUCCAUAGGUUAAUGAGGCGAACCGGGGGAACUGAAACAUCUAAGUACCCCGAGGAAAAGAAAUCAACCGAGAUUCCCCCAGUAGCGGCGAGCGAACGGGGAGGAGCCCAGAGCCUGAAUCAGCAUGUGUGUUAGUGGAAGCGUCUGGAAAGGCGCGCGAUACAGGGUGACAGCCCCGUACACAAAAGCGCAUGUGCUGUGAGCUCGAUGAGUAGGGCGGGACACGUGGUAUCCUGUCUGAAUAUGGGGGGACCAUCCUCCAAGGCUAAAUACUCCUGACUGACCGAUAGUGAACCAGUACCGUGAGGGAAAGGCGAAAAGAACCCCGGCGAGGGGAGUGAAAAAGAACCUGAAACCGUGUACGUACAAGCAGUGGGAGCCCCACCACUAAGCCAGUGGUGAACUCCACAUACGCAUCCUUUGCUGAGGAUACGGUUAACGGAGCGAAAGCGACGUUCAACCGCAAAAGAAGCAGAGGGGGCUUAGUGGUGGGGUGACUGCGUACCUUUUGUAUAAUGGGUCAGCGACUUAUAUUCUGUAGCAAGGUUAACCGAAUAGGGGAGCCGGAGGGAAACCGAGUCUUAAUUGGGCGUUAAGUUGCAGGGUAUAGACCCGAAACCCGGUGAUCUAGCCAUGGGCAGGUUGAAGGUUGGGUAACACUAACUGGAGGACCGAACCGACUAAUGUUGAAAAAUUAGCGGAUGACCUGUGGCUGGGGGUGAAAGGCCAAUCAAACCGGGAGAUAGCUGGUUCUCCCCGAAAGCUAUUUAGGUAGCGCCUCGUGAAUUCAUCUCCGGGGGUAGAGCACUGUUUCGGCUAGGGGGCCAUCCCGGCUUACCAACCCGAUGCAAACUGCGAAUACCGGAGAAUGUUAUCACGGGAGACACACGGCGGGUGCUAACGUCCGUCGUGAAGAGGGAAACAACCCAGACCGCCAGCUAAGGUCCCAAAGUCAUGGUUAAGUGGGAAACGAUGUGGGAAGGCCCAGACAGCCAGGAUGUUGGCUUAGAAGCAGCCAUCAUUUAAAGAAAGCGUAAUAGCUCACUGGUCGAGUCGGCCUGCGCGGAAGAUGUAACGGGGCUAAACCAUGCACCGAAGCUGCGGCAGCGACACUCAGGUGUUGUUGGGUAGGGGAGCGUUCUGUAAGCCUGUGAAGGUGUGUCGUGAGGCAUGCUGGAGGUAUCAGAAGUGCGAAUGCUGACAUAAGUAACGAUAAAGCGGGUGAAAAGCCCGCUCGCCGGAAGACCAAGGGUUCCUGUCCAACGUUAAUCGGGGCAGGGUGAGUCGACCCCUAAGGCGAGGCCGAAAGGCGUAGUCGAUGGGAAACGGGUUAAUAUUCCCGUACUUGGUGUUACUGCGAAGGGGGGACGGAGAAGGCUAUGUUGGCCGGGCGACGGUUGUCCCGGUUUAAGCGUGUAGGCUGGUUUUCCAGGCAAAUCCGGAAAAUCAAGGCUGAGGCGUGACGACGAGGCACUACGGUGCUGAAGCAACAAAUGCCCUGCUUCCAGGAAAAGCCUCUAAGCAUCAGGUAACAUCAAAUCGUACCCCAAACCGACACAGGUGGUCAGGUAGAGAAUACCAAGGCGCUUGAGAGAACUCGGGUGAAGGAACUAGGCAAAAUGGUGCCGUAACUUCGGGAGAAGGCACGCUGACACGUAGGUGAAGUGAUUUACUCAUGGAGCUGAAGUCAGUCGAAGAUACCAGCUGGCUGCAACUGUUUAUUAAAAACACAGCACUGUGCAAACACGAAAGUGGACGUAUACGGUGUGACGCCUGCCCGGUGCCGGAAGGUUAAUUGAUGGGGUCAGCGCAAGCGAAGCUCCUGAUCGAAGCCCCGGUAAACGGCGGCCGUAACUAUAACGGUCCUAAGGUAGCGAAAUUCCUUGUCGGGUAAGUUCCGACCUGCACGAAUGGCGUAAUGAUGGCCAGGCUGUCUCCACCCGAGACUCAGUGAAAUUGAACUCGCUGUGAAGAUGCAGUGUACCCGCGGCAAGACGGAAAGACCCCGUGAACCUUUACUAUAGCUUGACACUGAACAUUGAGCCUUGAUGUGUAGGAUAGGUGGGAGGCUUUGAAGUGUGGACGCCAGUCUGCAUGGAGCCGACCUUGAAAUACCACCCUUUAAUGUUUGAUGUUCUAACGUGGACCCGUAAUCCGGGUUGCGGACAGUGUCUGGUGGGUAGUUUGACUGGGGCGGUCUCCUCCUAAAGAGUAACGGAGGAGCACGAAGGUUGGCUAAUCCUGGUCGGACAUCAGGAGGUUAGUGCAAUGGCAUAAGCCAGCUUGACUGCGAGCGUGACGGCGCGAGCAGGUGCGAAAGCAGGUCAUAGUGAUCCGGUGGUUCUGAAUGGAAGGGCCAUCGCUCAACGGAUAAAAGGUACUCCGGGGAUAACAGGCUGAUACCGCCCAAGAGUUCAUAUCGACGGCGGUGUUUGGCACCUCGAUGUCGGCUCAUCACAUCCUGGGGCUGAAGUAGGUCCCAAGGGUAUGGCUGUUCGCCAUUUAAAGUGGUACGCGAGCUGGGUUUAGAACGUCGUGAGACAGUUCGGUCCCUAUCUGCCGUGGGCGCUGGAGAACUGAGGGGGGCUGCUCCUAGUACGAGAGGACCGGAGUGGACGCAUCACUGGUGUUCGGGUUGUCAUGCCAAUGGCACUGCCCGGUAGCUAAAUGCGGAAGAGAUAAGUGCUGAAAGCAUCUAAGCACGAAACUUGCCCCGAGAUGAGUUCUCCCUGAGACUUAGAGUCUCCUGAAGGAACGUUGAAGACGACGACGUUGAUAGGCCGGGUGUGUAAGCGCAGCGAUGCGUUGAGCUAACCGGUACUAAUGAACCGUGAGGCUUAACCUU